This 254-nucleotide ribosomal RNA is filed under the name uncultured bacterium. RNAcentral's name for it is "partial 16S ribosomal RNA". It matches the Rfam family "Bacterial small subunit ribosomal RNA", at positions 524 to 777 of the family's 1533-position model. The record is from RNAcentral.
UACGUAGGUGGCAAGCGUUGUCCGGAUUUAUUGGGUUUAAAGGGUGCGUAGGCGGUUCUAUAAGUCAGUGGUGAAAUCCGGCAGCUCAACUGUCGAUGUGCCAUUGAUACUGCAGAACUUGAGUAUAGACGAGGUAGGCGGAAUUGACGGUGUAGCGGUGAAAUGCAUAGAUACCAUAAAGAACCCCUAUUGCGAAGGCAGCUUACUAGGCUGUAACUGACGCUGAGGCACGAAAGCGUGGGGAUCAAACAGGA